Molecule: ribosomal RNA, 444 nt
Filed under: anaerobic bacterium foal30
Lineage: Bacteria
Description: bacterial SSU rRNA
Rfam family: Bacterial small subunit ribosomal RNA
Source: RNAcentral
GAACGCUGACAGAAUGCUUAACACAUGCAAGUCAACUCGAACUUCGGUUUGGGUGGCGGACGGGUGAGUAACGCGUAAAGAACUUGCCUUACAGUCUGGGACAACAUCUGGAAACGGAUGCUAAUACUGGAUAUUAUGUUUUUUCUGCAUGGAAGAGACAUGAAAGCUAUAUGCGCUGUAAGAGAGCUUUGCGUCCCAUUAGCUAGUUGGAGAGGUAACGGCUCACCAAGGCGAUGAUGGGUAGCCGGCCUGAGAGGGUGAACGGCCACAAGGGGACUGAGACACGGCCCUUACUCCUACGGGAGGCAGCAGUGGGGAAUAUUGGACAAUGGACCAAGAGUCUGAUCCAGCAAUUCUGUGUGCACGAUGAAGUUUUUCGGAAUGUAAAGUGCUUUCAGUUGGGAAGAAGAAAGUGACGGUACCAACAGAAGAAGCGACGGCUAA